RNAcentral lists this ribosomal RNA (252 nucleotides) under uncultured bacterium. RNAcentral describes it as "partial 16S ribosomal RNA". It matches the Rfam family "Bacterial small subunit ribosomal RNA", at positions 524 to 776 of the family's 1533-position model. The record is from RNAcentral.
UACGUAGGUCCCGAGCGUUGUCCGGAUUUAUUGGGCGUAAAGCGAGCGCAGGUGGUUUAUUAAGUCUGGUGUAAAAGGCAGUGGCUCAACCAUUGUAUGCAUUGGAAACUGGUAGACUUGAGUGCAGGAGAGGAGAGUGUAAUUCCAUGUGUAGCGGUGAAAUGCGUAGAUAUAUGGAGGAACACCGGUGGCGAAAGCGGCUCUCUGGCCUGUAACUGACACUGAGGCUCGAAAGCGUGGGGAGCAAACAGG